CUUGAUCGACCCGAGCCAGAGCGGUUGGUCGUCCCGCCGCUGCUGCCCGUAGGUGGCGAGCAGGGCCUGGGCUUC
Molecule: non-coding RNA, 75 nt
Organism: Micromonospora narathiwatensis
Lineage: Bacteria; Bacillati; Actinomycetota; Actinomycetes; Micromonosporales; Micromonosporaceae
Rfam family: ASpks TB sRNA
Source: Rfam